Molecule: ribosomal RNA, 301 nt
Filed under: uncultured bacterium
Lineage: Bacteria
Description: partial 16S ribosomal RNA
Rfam family: Bacterial small subunit ribosomal RNA
Source: RNAcentral
CAGCAGCCGCGGGAAUACAGAGGAUGCAAGCGUUAUCCGGAAUGAUUGGGCGUAAAGCGUCUGUAGGUGGCUUUUCAAGUCCGCCGUCAAAUCCCAGGGCUCAACCCUGGACAGGCGGUGGAAACUACCAAGCUGGAGUACGGUAGGGGCAGAGGGAAUUUCCGAUGGAGCGGUGAAAUGCGUUGAGAUCGGAAAGAACACCAACGGAGAAAGCACUCUGCUGGGCCGACACUGACACUGAGAGACGAAAGUUAGGGGAGCAAAUGGGAUUAGAUACCCCCGUAGUCCCUGUCUCUUAUAC